GAUGAACGCUGGCGGCGUGCUUAACACAUGCAAGUCGAACGAUGAAGCUGGAGCUUGCUCUGGUGGAUUAGUGGCGAACGGGUGAGUAACACGUGAGCAACCUGCCCCUGACUCUGGGAUAACAGCCGGAAACGGCUGCUAAUACCGGAUAUGCACCAUGAACGCAUGUUCUGUGGUGGGAAAGAUUUUUCGGUUGGGGAUGGGCUCGCGGCCUAUCAGCUUGUUGGUGAGGUAAUGGCUCACCAAGGCGUCGACGGGUAGCCGGCCUGAGAGGGUGACCGGCCACACUGGGACUGAGACACGGCCCAGACUCCUACGGGAGGCAGCAGUGGGGAAUCUUCCGCAAUGGGCGAAAGCCUGACGGAGCAACGCCGCGUGAGUGAUGAAGGUCUUCGGAUCGUAAAACUCUGUUAUUAGGGAAGAACAUAUGUGUAAGUAACUGUGCACAUCUUGACGGUACCUAAUCAGAAAGCCACGGCUAACUACGUG
RNAcentral lists this ribosomal RNA (489 nucleotides) under uncultured bacterium. Its description in RNAcentral is "partial 16S ribosomal RNA". It matches the Rfam family "Bacterial small subunit ribosomal RNA", at positions 28 to 507 of the family's 1533-position model. The record is from RNAcentral.